AUACGGGGGGUGCAAGCGUUAAUCGGAAUUACUGGGCGUAAAGCGCGCGUAGGCGGUUAGAUAAGUUGGAUGUGAAAUCCCCGGGCUCAACCUGGGAACUGCAUUCAAAACUGUUUAACUAGAGUAUGGUAGAGGGAAGUGGAAUUCCAGGUGUAGCGGUGAAAUGCGUAGAUAUCUGGAGGAACAUCAGUGGCGAAGGCGACUUCCUGGACCAAUACUGACGCUGAGGUGCGAAAGCGUGGGGAGCAAACAGGAUUAGAUACCCGAGUAGUCC
This 274-nucleotide ribosomal RNA is filed under the name uncultured bacterium. RNAcentral's name for it is "partial 16S ribosomal RNA". It matches the Rfam family "Bacterial small subunit ribosomal RNA", at positions 523 to 796 of the family's 1533-position model. The record is from RNAcentral.